GACGAACGCUGGCGGCGUGCCUAACACAUGCAGGUCGAGCGAAGUGCUUGCGACAGAUUCCUUCGGGAUGAAGAUGCAAGUAUCUUAGCGGCGGACGGGUGAGUAACGCGUGAGAAACCUGCCUUUCACAAAGGGAUAGCCUCGGGAAACUGGGAUUAAUACCUUAUGACACUUAGAAUUCACAUGAAAUUUAAGUUAAAGCGUAAAGCGGUGAAAGAUGGUCUCGCGUCCCAUUAGCUAGUUGGUGAGAUAGAAGCUUACCAAGGCGACGAUGGGUAGCCGGCCUGAGAGGGUGAACGGCCACACUGGAACUGAGACACGGUCCAG
Molecule: ribosomal RNA, 327 nt
Filed under: uncultured bacterium
Lineage: Bacteria
Description: bacterial SSU rRNA
Rfam family: Bacterial small subunit ribosomal RNA
Source: RNAcentral